CAAUAGCGUAUAUUAACGUUGUUGCAGUUAAAAAGCUCGUAGUUGGAUUUCUGGAGGGAGCGUCGGCCCGUAUUUACGAGUGCGUGACGUCUCUGUCCAUCCUUGCGGGAAGGCACGGCAUUGAUUUGUUGUGUCGGAUCGCAUCAUUUACUGUGAAAAAAUUAGAGUGUUCAAAGCAGGCUUUCGCUUGAAUACAUUAGCAUGGAAUAAUAAGAUAGGACUUUGGUGCUAUUUUGUUGGUUGAGCCUAAAGUAAUGAUUAAUAGGGAUAGUUGGGGGCACCUGUAUUGCGUUGUCAGAGGUGAAAUUCUUGGAUUUGCGCAAGACAAACAGCUGCGAAAGCGUCUGCCAAGGAUGUUUUCAUUAA
Molecule: ribosomal RNA, 366 nt
Filed under: uncultured eukaryote
Lineage: Eukaryota
Description: partial 18S ribosomal RNA
Rfam family: Eukaryotic small subunit ribosomal RNA
Source: RNAcentral